RNAcentral lists this ribosomal RNA (311 nucleotides) under uncultured Thelephoraceae. Its description in RNAcentral is "eukaryotic LSU rRNA". It matches the Rfam family "Eukaryotic large subunit ribosomal RNA", at positions 1 to 303 of the family's 3401-position model. The record is from RNAcentral. Lineage: Eukaryota; Fungi; Basidiomycota; Agaricomycetes; Thelephorales; Thelephoraceae.
UUGAUCUCAAAUCAGGUAGGGCUACCCGCUGAACUUAAGCAUAUCAAUAAGCGGAGGAAAAGAAACUAACAAGGAUUCCCCUAGUAACUGCGAGUGAAGCGGGAAGAGCUCAAAUUUAAAAUCUGGCGUGCCUCUGGUCGUCCGAGUUGUAGUCUGGAGAAGCGUUUUCCGUGUUGGACCGUGUACAAGUCUCUUGGAACAGGGCGUCAUAGAGGGUGAGAAUCCCGUCUUUGACACGGACUACCAAUGCUUUGUGAUGCGCUCUCAAAGAGUCGAGUUGUUUGGGAAUGCAGCUCAAAAUGGGUGGUAAA